Molecule: ribosomal RNA, 487 nt
Filed under: uncultured bacterium
Lineage: Bacteria
Description: bacterial SSU rRNA
Rfam family: Bacterial small subunit ribosomal RNA
Source: RNAcentral
GAUGAACGCUAGCGGCAGGCCUAACACAUGCAAGUCGAGGGGUAACAUAGAAAAGCUUGCUUUUCUGAUGACGACCGGCGCACGGGUGCGUAACGCGUAUACAACCUACCUUUUAGCGGGGAAUAGCCCAGGGAAACUUGGAUUAAUGUCCCAUAGUAUAUAGACUUCUCCUGAAGUUUAUAUUAAACAUUUAUGGCUAUUAGAUGGGUAUGCGUCCUAUUAGUUAGUUGGUAAGGUAACGGCUUACCAAGGCAGCGAUAGGUAGGGGUCCUGAGAGGGAGAUCCCCACACUGGUACUGAGACACGGACCAGACUCCUACGGGAGGCAGCAGUGAGGAAUAUUGGACAAUGGGCGAGAGCCUGAUCCAGCCAUGCCGCGUGCAGGAAGACUGCCCUAUGGGUUGUAAACUGCUUUUACAGAGGAAGAACCACCCCCACGUGUGGGGGUUUGACGGUACUCUGCGAAUAAGGAUCGGCUAACUCCGUG